CAAGAUUAAAACUCAAAGGAAUUGACGGGGACCCGCACAAGCGGUGGAUGAUGUGGAUUAAUUCGAUGCAACGCGAAAAACCUUACCUACCCUUGACAUGGUCGGAACCCUGCUGAAAGGUGGGGGUGCUCGAAAGAGAACCGAUACACAGGUGCUGCAUGGCUGUCGUCAGCUCGUGUCGUGAGUGGUUGGGUUAAGUCCCGCAACGAGCGCAACCCUUGUCCUUAGUUGCUACGCAAGAGCACUCUAAGGAGACUGCCGGUGACAAACCGGAGGAAGGUGGGGAUGACGUCAAGUCCUCAUGGCCCUUAUGGGUAGGGCUUCACACGUCAUACAAUGGUCGGAACAGAGGGCUGCCAACCCGUGAGGGGGAGCUAAUCCCAGAAAACCGAUCGUAGUCCGGAUCGUAGUCUGCAACUCGACUACGUGAAGCUGGAAUCGCUAGUAAUCGCGGAUCAGCAUGCCGCGGUGAAUACGUUCCCGGGUCUUGUACACACCGCCCGUCACACCAUGGGAGUGGGUUUUACCAGAAGUGGCUAGUCUAACCGCAAGGAGGACGGUCACCACGGUAGGAUUCAUGACUGGGGUGAAGUCGUAACAAGGUAACCGUA
RNAcentral lists this ribosomal RNA (611 nucleotides) under Burkholderia sp. DF7SR8. RNAcentral describes it as "bacterial SSU rRNA". It matches the Rfam family "Bacterial small subunit ribosomal RNA", at positions 889 to 1504 of the family's 1533-position model. The record is from RNAcentral. Lineage: Bacteria; Pseudomonadati; Pseudomonadota; Betaproteobacteria; Burkholderiales; Burkholderiaceae.